Ictalurus punctatus (channel catfish) is the source of this 1756-nucleotide long non-coding RNA. The record is from Ensembl. Lineage: Eukaryota; Metazoa; Chordata; Actinopteri; Siluriformes; Ictaluridae.
GAGAGAGAGAGAGAGAGAUACAGAUGUGGUGAUAUAUUUGUUCUCUAAGUGAUAUCGUUCUAAACAUUUUUGCCAAACUGUAAGUUAUAGAACACAGAGUGGACAUAAAGUGUAAUACAUAGGGUCACGGGGCCAUUUCAAAUCAAUUUUAUUGCUCUCGACUUUUUUUGAUGACGGUCCAGUGACAUAAAACAGAAUUUACUUAAAUGGGAUUAUAAAAGUAAAAUAUCAAAUAUACAAACUGAUGUAUGAAGUCUUUGUGGUAUAAAGUGCAGAUAUGUGCAGUACACUGCUGUGCAACAUGGAGCUGAGGAAGUUGCUGUGAAAAAGACAAUCUAAUAUAAAUAUUUAUAAAUACAGGAUGUCGUGUGUUUACAGGAAUGCUCUGUGUGGGAAGAAGCUCCUCCUCAUACUCUCUGUAUUGGUCUUCAGAGUCCAUUGUUCAGAUGGAUGAGGUCCUUCACUAUAUUCCUGGCCUUGGUCCAGCUCCACUUGCUGUAGAUAGACUGCAGGUCAGGGAGCUCAGUGUGGAUUGUACGCUCAGCUGAUCACACCACCCUCUGGAGAGCCGUCUAUCCUGCUUGGUGUUUCUCCUGAACCAGGCUGUGAUGCGUCCCAUCAGGAUGCUCUCAAUGGUGCAAAAGUUCCUUAGCACCUUAGACACCUGAUUAAAGUCCCUUAAGCAUUUAAGGUAGUAUAGAUGCUGCCAGGCCUUCUUCACCAGAGUGUUCAUGGGACAGGACCAGGACCGGUCCUGCAUGAUCUGAACACCAAGGGACCGGAUACUGUCCACUCUCUCCACUGGGGUCCCGUUGAUCAUAAGGGCUGGUAGCUCCUCUCCUGCUUCAUGAGUCCUCCAUCAACUCCUCGGUCUUUCUGAUGUUCAGGAGGAGGUUGUUCUAGUGGAAUCAGUUCUCCAGGGUUUUAAUCUUCACCAGGUUGGCCUUCUCAUCGUUAUCAGAUACCAAGCCCACAACAACAGUGUCGUCAGUAAACCUGACCAUGGUGGUAGAGCUGGAAGUGUCCACACCGGCAGAGGUGGAAGUGUCCACACCGUCAGAGCUGGAAGUGUCCACACAGUCAGAGCUGGAAGUGUCCACACAGUCAGAGCUGGAAGUGUCCACACAGUCAGAGCUGGAAGUGUCCACACCGUCAGAGGUGGAAGUGUACAGUGAGUACCGCAGGAGGCUCGGGACACGACCUGGGGGCUUCAUUGCUGAGGGUGAGACAUGUCUGACCACCUGUCUGUUAGGAAGGUGAAGAUCCACUGACACAGGGACGGGUUAAGUCGCAGGUCCUCCUACUUGGUGGCGAGUUUGGACGGAAUUAUAGAGUUAAAUACUGAACUGUAGUCAACAAACAGCAUUUGAACAUAAUUUCCCUUCCUGGUGUCCAGAUGGUUCAGGGCUGUGUGUAGGAGGUGUGUGAUGGCGUCCUCGGUAAAGCGAUUGGGACGGUACACGAACUGUAAUGGGUCCAGAGUGUCAGGUAAUGAAGAGGUGAUGAAGUCUCUGACCAGCCUUUCAAAGCACUUCAUCAGGAAUGAGGUCAGGGCGACUGGGUGAGAGUCGCUGAGGCAGGCUGGGGUUUCUGUGGGACAGGAAUGAUGAUGGACUGUUAGAAGCGUGUGGGGAGUACUGACUGUACCAGGGAGAGGUUCUAUACCUCUGUGAACACUGCAGCUAGCUGGUCAGCGCAAGCUCUACAAACCUCGACUUGAGAUGCCGUCUGGUCCUGCUGCCUUCUUGGUGUUCAC